Molecule: ribosomal RNA, 497 nt
Filed under: uncultured bacterium
Lineage: Bacteria
Description: partial 16S ribosomal RNA
Rfam family: Bacterial small subunit ribosomal RNA
Source: RNAcentral
GAUGAACGCUGGCGGCGUGCCUAAUACAUGCAAGUCGAGCGAACAGACGAGGAGCUUGCUCCUCUGAUGUUAGCGGCGGACGGGUGAGUAACACGUGGAUAACCUACCUAUAAGACUGGGAUAACUUCGGGAAACCGGAGCUAAUACCGGAUAACAUGUUGAACCGCAUGGUUCAACAGUGAAAGACGGUCUUGCUGUCACUUAUAGAUGGAUCCGCGCCGCAUUAGCUAGUUGGUAAGGUAACGGCUUACCAAGGCAACGAUGCGUAGCCGACCUGAGAGGGUGAUCGGCCACAUUGGAACUGAGACACGGCCCAGACUCCUACGGGAGGCAGCAGUAGGGAAUCUUCCGCAAUGGGCGAAAGCCUGACGGAGCAACGCCGCGUGAGUGAAGAAGGUCUUCGGAUCGUAAAACUCUGUUAUUAGGGAAGAACAAAUGUGUAAGUAACUAUGCACGUCUUGACGGUACCUAAUCAGAAAGCCACGGCUAACUACGUG